CACGGGGGGAGCAAGCGUUGUUCGGAAUCACUGGGCGUAAAGGGCGUGUAGGCGGUCAGGUAAGUGAGACGUGAAAUGCCCCGGCUUACCCGGGGACCUGCGUCUCGUACUGCUUGGCUUGAGUACGGGAGAGGGUGUGGGAAUUCCUGGUGUAGCGGUGAAAUGCGUAGAUAUCAGGAGGAACACCGGUGGCGAAGGCGCACACCUGGCCCGAUACUGACGCUGAGGCGCGAAAGCUAGGGGAGCAAACGGG
Molecule: ribosomal RNA, 253 nt
Filed under: uncultured bacterium
Lineage: Bacteria
Description: partial 16S ribosomal RNA
Rfam family: Bacterial small subunit ribosomal RNA
Source: RNAcentral